This 454-nucleotide ribosomal RNA is filed under the name uncultured bacterium. Its description in RNAcentral is "partial 16S ribosomal RNA". It matches the Rfam family "Bacterial small subunit ribosomal RNA", at positions 28 to 507 of the family's 1533-position model. The record is from RNAcentral.
GAUGAACGCUGACAGAAUGCUUAACACAUGCAAGUCUACUUGAACUUCGGUUUGGGUGGCGGACGGGUGAGUAACGCGUACAGAACUUGCCUCACAGAUAGGGACAACAUUUGGAAACGAAUGCUAAUACCUGAUAUUAUGAUUUUAGGGCAUCCUAGAAUUAUGAAAGCUAUAUGCACUGUGAGAGAGCUUUGCGUCCCAUUAGCUAGUUGGAGAGGUAACGGCUCACCAAGGCGAUGAUGGGUAGCCGGCCUGAGAGGGUGAUCGGCCACAAGGGGACUGGGACACGGCCCUUACUCCUACGGGAGGCAGCAGUGGGGAAUAUCGGACAAUGGACCAAGAGUCUGAUCCAGCAAUUCUGUGUGCACGAUGAAGUUUUUCGGAAUGUAAAGUGCUUUCAGUUGGGAAGAAAAAAAUGACGGUACCAACAGAAGAAGUGACGGCUAAAUACGUG